AAUCUAAUGCCGCCACUGAUCUGACAGGAGGAGCAGCUCAGGCAGUAAUGCUGGCUUGCCCACCCUCACCUGCUGCACAGCCUGGUUCCUAACAGGCCACAGACUGGUACUGAUUGGCAGCCUGGGGAUUGAGGGCCCUUGUGCUAGCUUGUCUACUUUGAGAGGGCCUGGGAGCAGUGAGAACCGAAUAGUGAUAAGUAAUGUAGUAUCCAGAUCUUGGUUUCUAAAUCCCAUACUCUGCUAAAAGAAAGCAGGGAUCUCUGGAGAAAGGGCUGAUUUGAGGCUUGGGACAGGGAAAGUAUGAACUGAGCCUGGAACAUCUUAAGCCAGAAAGAAAAGAAAGUUUCAAGAAUGAUGGGGGUAUGCAAAAGGCAACCUGCAGGCGCUACCACUAGCUAAAUCAGGGCCAGUAUGAACAUGUAAAUAAUGACAGCAGAUUAUAAUCCAAUAAAUAAAUUAGGGAAUCAUGAGUCCAUAGUGAUUUAAAUGAAUGAAUAAACUGCAAGUCUGAUGAAGAACAGGAUAACAUCCAUGGUCCCAAAUUGCCCUCCCGACAAAUACUUAUUAGUUACAAAGGAAAACAAGUAGCUUUACAAGCCUAGCUGGUAUCUCUAUUAGGAAAAAUCUAAAUUGUAUGCCACCUGAUAUGAUUCAAUAACAAGAAUAUAGUGUUAUUUCUGAGAUAUUCCUAUCAAAAGACACAUAACCUGAAUAUGAAAAAUUAUGCAUAACAUGCAUAACACAAAUAGGUAUAACAUGAAAAAACAGCAGACAACCAACAAUGAACAUUCUAUAAAAUAAUCAGCCUGUGAUCUUCAAAAGUGUCAAGGUCAUGAAUGUCAAGGAAAAAUCAAGUAAGUAUUCCAGAUUGAAGGUGACUAAGGACUCUUAUCAAUUAAAUGCAAUCUGUGAUCCUGAAUUGGAUCCUUUUUCUAUAAAGGACAUUAUUACAAUAACCAGUAGAACAUAAAGGGGAUCUAAGGACUGGAUGGUAGUAAUCAAUCAAUGUUAAUUUUCUGUUUUUGAUGACUGUAUUAUAGUUAUAUAGGAUGAUGCCCCUUUCUAUAGGAAAUACAGAUUAAAGUAUCUGUGGUGAUAGAGCAUCAUGUCAGCAACCUCCUCUCAAAUUGUUCAGAAAAAAAAAGUUCUCUUGCACUGAGGGAGGGAGGGAGGAAAUCAUUUCAUUAGAAUACAUGCUCUCCUUCUAACCUUCUCCCUUUUGUACCCCAGUGCCUUACAUGCAUUAGGUGCUCAACAAAUGCUUGUUGAUUUGUUGAAUGACAAAAAGGGAAAUCACUGUGGCUGCCAUGUGAAAUCACCUAAGAUGACAGCACAGAACUGGGAAGAAAAGAUGGCGUGAAACUUUAAAGGAUAGUGAAAGAAAGAGCUAGAAAAGAUUCUGCAACAUAGGGAAACAUAAGACCUCAAAAGCUUUCCUCUCUAAUGCAAAUUUAUCCCCGUCCAGAAGAUCUAUGGCAGAUAAUCUGACUUCUUGGUAACCUUCUUUCAAGUUCAGCAGAGUAUUUCUCCACAGCUAUACUACGACUGGCAUCAGAUACAUAAUGUGAAGCAUAAAAGAGAUGAAAUGAUUUUCCUGAUGUCAAAUAAGUGGUGCAGACAGUAUUCAAAUCAAGGUCUUUUAAAAAUCUCAAAAGC
This 1656-nucleotide long non-coding RNA is filed under the name Homo sapiens (human). RNAcentral describes it as "HSALNT0335731". The record is from RNAcentral. Lineage: Eukaryota; Metazoa; Chordata; Mammalia; Primates; Hominidae.